Molecule: long non-coding RNA, 1650 nt
Organism: Papaver somniferum (opium poppy)
Lineage: Eukaryota; Viridiplantae; Streptophyta; Magnoliopsida; Ranunculales; Papaveraceae
Exons: 3
Source: RefSeq, a predicted model, not a curated record
UCACGAUACAGAUUAAAUCAACUUGGAGAUCGAAAUUUUCUCCCUCUUCAACGACAGCCACCACCACCACUACCACCUUCUCCGCCACCCGAUCGGAAAAAUAAUUUUUAUUCUUCUUUUUCCUUCUCUAUUGAUAUUAUCACCACCACCACCACCUCUGCAUUACCACCACUCCGUCGUCAUUUUCACCUCCGUCACAAGAUCGAGUCAAGAGAAAUUUUAAAUCCAGUGAUGAAUCAACGAGAAGUUAGUCUCCAUAACCUAAUCUCAAGCCCAUCAGAAACAUUAAUUUCAUUUUGAUUUCGUUCUAAAACCAAAGAUUUCGACCGGAUUUGGUUUCAAUUUGUAAAAACCUAAAAUGUUAGUUCUUAAAGAUUGUCUGCAUCGAUUGGGAAUAGAUGAUAAAAAUCUCCAUCAGCAAUUGGAUCUGAAUAUUCAAUCAUCAAAAACGAAUAAAAAGGUGUUGUUGCAUAGGUGACGCUGGUUGUUGUGUUUACAUCAGCGGUGGUGGAUAUUGCAUCAUUUUUGUUGGAGCCUGUUGUUGUAGGGGAGGUGAUGGUGGUGGCGUUUUCUGUAGUUAACUGUGAGGGUGAUAAUGGUGGUGAUAGUAAUAUUGGUAUUGGUGUUGGUGUUGUGGAGGUGGUGAUGGCAGACUUUGAGAGGGAUUUUUUUUUAACUUUUAUUACUGAUGCAGGAGCAGCAGUCGAGUGGUGAACGUAGACAGUGACAGCAACUGUGCUAUCAUAGUAACUUUUCCUUGUCAAGAUUGUUCAAGGUUAUAUUAUAAUGGGAGCCAGAUUAUAUGCUAAGAAAUUUAUUGAAGGUUAAGGUUUGGGAUCCCUGGAAAUGCACUACAAUUUAUGGAUAUGAUACCGUUAGUGUCUGUAAUUAAACUUGAAUCCUCAAGGUGUGGUUGUAGUACUACCUUGUGUUUAGCUAAUGUUUUUGUGUAUGUAUAUGAUCUGGUUGUGAAUAUGCAUGUGAAUAUAUUGUCUAACUAUGUUUGCAGGUGGAAUUUUUCUCUUUAUGUGAUUUAUGUAAAGUGGUUUUUGGCAGGGUUGAGGUGUAUUAGACGAACUUGUGGUGUAAUGGUAACACACCUGGCUCCACGUCAGAAGAUGCGUGUUCGAAUCACGUCAGGUUCACUAAUUUUAGUACAUCAAUUUUAUGGAUCAACUUUGGUUGUUGACGCCAGAUUUUGGGAUCAACUUUGGUUGUUGACCCGUUCACUGGGAUCAACUUUCAUUGUUGAUCUCAGUGAAUGGGAUCAACAUCCAUUGUUGACCCAAAAAAGUUGGAGUACUUUUUCACUUAUUGUGUCAACAAAAGAAAUCGAUCAACUUUGGUUGUUGACACCAUCUUUUGGGAUCAACUUUGGUUGUUGACACCAUAUUUUGGGAUCAACUUCGGUUGUUGACACCAUAUUAUGAUGUUAAAUUCGGUUGUUGAGGCCAUAUUAUUUUUUAUUUUUAUUUUUUUGAUUUUUUUUCUUUGAGGAUCAACUUCGGCUGUUGACACCAGAUUUUGGAUCAACCUCGGUUGUUGAUGCCAUAUUGUUUUGUUAUGAGCUUUUGAUUUUUGUUUUUGGGGAUCAACUUCGGUUGUUGACACCAGAUUUUGGGAUUAACUUCGGUUGUUGACGCCAUGUUA